Molecule: long non-coding RNA, 594 nt
Filed under: Chrysemys picta bellii (western painted turtle)
Lineage: Eukaryota; Metazoa; Chordata; Testudines; Emydidae
Description: lncRNA (ENSCPBG00000001447.1)
Source: RNAcentral
AAAUCAGUCAGAACAGUUAAAAUAUUUUACAAAGACUUCCUGACAUCCAUUUCACCAGUGAUACAGUAUCAAAUGUAUUGUAUCCCCUGCUCCUUCCCUCUGAACCAUGGACUUCACAGAACAAUGGGCAUGUUAUUUGUGAAUUACCUCAACAUUUGAAUCUUGUGCUUCACUAAGAUAUUGAUACCUAGGAAUUCAUCCACUGCUGCAUCAAACACACCUGUACAGGAAACUUGAAUGAAAUGCUGUGGUUCUUGGGCAAGCAGACUCCUGUGGCAUAGACACCAAAAUGGCUGAUUGAAGAUUUUCCUAAUGUGGAUUAACCUGCAUAUGGAGUUAACCUGCAUGAUCCAAAGGAUGGCACUAACACAAAAGUUAGCACAGCACUUGCAUCAUUGACACCAAAAUGGCUGACUGAAGAUUUUCCUAAUGUGGAAAACAGCAGUGUGGUAAAGUCACUCCAGGAAAAAAGUGAGUUAACGAGUAGCAAUUCCACCCAGUUGUUCUUGGAUAAUGAUGAUCCAGUCGUUACGGAAGUACUAGAGACAUCACUGCAGGAGGAGUGCAAGACCACAGACACCAAAAAGGGAAACA